RNAcentral lists this ribosomal RNA (496 nucleotides) under uncultured bacterium. Its description in RNAcentral is "partial 16S ribosomal RNA". It matches the Rfam family "Bacterial small subunit ribosomal RNA", at positions 30 to 523 of the family's 1533-position model. The record is from RNAcentral.
AUUGAACGCUGGCGGAAUGCUUUACACAUGCAAGUCGAACGGUAGAGGGGGCAACCCCUCGAGAGUGGCGAACGGGUGAGUAAUAUAUCGGAACGUGCCCAGUCGUGGGGGAUAACGUAGCGAAAGUUACGCUAAUACCGCAUACGAUCUAAGGAUGAAAGCGGGGGAUCGCAAGACCUCGCGCGAUUGGAGCGGCCGAUAUCAGAUUAGGUAGUUGGUGGGGUAAAGGCUCACCAAGCCAACGAUCUGUAGCUGGUCUGAGAGGACGACCGGCCACACGGGAACUGAGACACGGUCCAGACUCCUACGGGAGGCAGCAGUGGGGAAUUUUGGAAAAUGGACGCAAGUCUGAUCCAGCCAUUCCGCGUGCAGGAUGAAGGCCCUCGGGUUGUAAACUGCUUUUGUACGGAACGAAAAGGUCUCUCUUAAUACGGGGGACUCAUGACGGUACCGUAAGAAUAAGCACCGGCUAACUACGUGCCAGCCGCCGCCGUAA